RNAcentral lists this microRNA precursor (57 nucleotides) under Procavia capensis (Cape rock hyrax). RNAcentral's name for it is "miRNA (ENSPCAG00000019919.1)". The record is from RNAcentral. Lineage: Eukaryota; Metazoa; Chordata; Mammalia; Hyracoidea; Procaviidae.
GGGCUGGGCUGGGCUGGGCUGGACAGUGGAGCAGGAAACCCGGGAUCCUGCAGGCCU